RNAcentral lists this ribosomal RNA (271 nucleotides) under uncultured Peredibacter sp. RNAcentral's name for it is "partial 16S ribosomal RNA". It matches the Rfam family "Bacterial small subunit ribosomal RNA", at positions 595 to 864 of the family's 1533-position model. The record is from RNAcentral. Lineage: Bacteria; Pseudomonadati; Bdellovibrionota; Bacteriovoracia; Bacteriovoracales; Bacteriovoracaceae.
UGAAAUCUCGAAGCUCAACUUCGAAACUGCGUCUGAAACUGCUAGUCUAGAGUGUCGGAGGGGGAAGGGGAAUUUCACGUGUAGGGGUAAAAUCCGUAGAGAUGUGAAGGAACACCGGGGGCGAAGGCGCCUUCCUGGACGACUACUGACGCUGAGGCGCGAAAGCGUGGGGAGUAAACAGGAUUAGAUACCCUGGUAGUCCACGCUGUAAAUGAUGAAUACUAGUUAUUGGGGGUAUUGACUCCCUCAGUGACGCAGCUAACGCAUUAAG